UGAACAUGUUGAGCGGACUGAUAGAUGUACUUACUUUGUUUUUGGUCAUUUUUGAGAGAGUGUGUCGUAAUAUGGCUUUCAGCCUGCACAAAGCGGGACAAGGGAGCAUAGAAACACAUGUUUGACAAAUAAAUAAGUAGUAGUGGCAGCAGAGAUUUUCCAGAGAGAUUUUAGUUAUUUAUGGCCUACAAAAUGAAUUGUAAUGUUCUCUCAGCUGAUGACCUACCCCCUCACUCCUUGAAAAACUCAAUGAAUAUAACCAUAGUGUUUAAAUGCAACACAAGAAGAAGCAGCAGGUUGAAUGGAAGAUCACCCACACUUGAUUGUUCAGGAGCAUGAUGUAAAGUACUUUGUUAGCAGGACAGGACAGCAGGAAAUAUCUGGAGGUUACCUUGUUUUUACAUGGAAAAUUAAGUAUUGUACUAGCCUGCAUACUCUUAUCCUUACUGAUAUUUUUAAUCUCUUCUGGUAAUCCUGUUUGUGUUCCUGCCUGAGGUCUUUGAGACACAUCAGGGUCCCAGUCCUCAAAUAGGAUUGAUGUUUGCAGUGUGUUUAAACUACAAUUUAAAAAAAAAAAACAA
Molecule: long non-coding RNA, 581 nt
Organism: Erpetoichthys calabaricus (reedfish)
Lineage: Eukaryota; Metazoa; Chordata; Cladistia; Polypteriformes; Polypteridae
Exons: 2
Source: RefSeq, a predicted model, not a curated record